UCCCUGUCGGUUGAGUGGUUAAGACUCAGCACUUUCACUGUCAAGGGCCCAGGUUCAAGCCCUGGACAGGAAA
RNAcentral lists this transfer RNA (73 nucleotides) under Capra hircus (goat). It matches the Rfam family "tRNA". Rfam says of the family: Transfer RNA (tRNA) molecules are approximately 80 nucleotides in length. Their secondary structure includes four short double-helical elements and three loops (D, anti-codon, and T loops). The record is from Rfam by way of RNAcentral. Lineage: Eukaryota; Metazoa; Chordata; Mammalia; Artiodactyla; Bovidae. RNAcentral also lists the same sequence under 1 other name.